GGCGGCCGCCGAAGAAAUUAGGCGGCCGCGCAGCGCCGCUGCAGAUUAUUCAUCUUUGCCCCAUCCUCUUGGACCUCGCUGCUAUUCCUUCCUGGCGACCGCGCCGUCCGGCGUUGAGGAGCUCGUGAUUGUCAGCAGGGACAACGAGGGUGGGCGCCUGGGGGAGACACCGUUCCCUCCCGAUGCUACCCUGGGCAUCGCGGAUGGCAUUGGCGAAGCAGUCAUAAUUGUACGCGAGGAGGACGACCUGAGGAGCCGUGUCUUCUGGCUGCGGCCAGUGAAGCGCAGCGCGACGGAGGCUCUCCAGAAGUGUACUGGCAAGGGCCGCCCUCGCGCCAGAGCUCCACCGCAUUGCCCGAGAUCUCUGCCGCGGCCGUUGAUACAAGCACGCCCUUGAGAAUUUCAUGGAAAGGACCAAAAACUGAAUUCAGUCGUGCUUCUGCUGUAGGAAUCUGUGCAGUCACCAGGAAGAUGUGGCCACAAGACUCGUGGAGCGUGUUUUUGACUUGCAAAGAGAAUGACUGAACGUUUCUAGGUGCACGUUAGGCACAGUUUCAGUUUUAAAUUUCAAUCGUAGAUUGCUAGGAAUCUACACGAUUCUUCUGUUUCUAGGUGCACGUGACAGUUUCAGUCUUGCACAGAGAAUGGCUUAACGGUUUUUCCUUCUCCAGCUGUGAUUCACUCUUUUUUCUUUGAGGUUUCUGAAAUUUCUCAGAGUGACCAUCUUUCCUGACCAUUAUAACUCGUGUCAUUUGUUAUGCGGUGCAGUAGCUUCUAUUAUAGUUCAUCUACACUCGGUUAAUUGAAAGUAUGAUUGAAUGCAGAUUCAGGUGUGCUAUUUGUUUUCUGUCUGUCUAAUGAAGUAUUAUUGUGAUACAUGUAUAUGCCUCCAGGCUGGACAGUUUAGAUGCUCUGCUGCCUCCGUUUAAGUCUUGUGCUCUGCUUUCUACCAUGAUGGAGUUUUAAUCAGCAAAAAUUCGAUAAUCAUCCCACUUCCGAUGCUUGACAUCAAAUACAGAAUUGUUGGAUUGGCUCUUCUACCGAACAUUGUUGUUUACUUUAUUUAUGUUGCCCAGCUAUUUCUUCAAGGAAUGUUGGCCAGCUAUUUAUUCAAGGAAGAACCAACAAAGCCUGGGGCAUGAUAUAUUGGCAUCUAAUAGAAGUUAGAAUAUAUUGCACCUGAUAAUGAGUGACUAAUCCACACAGCUUUAAUACAACAAUGAAGACACUUCAAAUAAAAUUGGUGAUCUACAUACAUAGUCAAAAAAUUCCCGAAAACUAGCAUUGUCCACUGCCUUCUCUUUCCAGAAAUUAGCUGGGCCAAAUAUUUCCUUCAACAAAACCAUAUUUUAAUCUUAAUAAUGGUUGUUUCGUAAUUUAACUGUGGUGGUAACUAUAUUAAUGUGCUGUUUUUUCCCCAGAAGGAAACUU
Long non-coding RNA from Lolium rigidum, 1431 nucleotides. RefSeq lists it as uncharacterized. The record is from RefSeq and is a predicted model, not a curated record. NCBI's taxonomy places the organism in Eukaryota, Viridiplantae, Streptophyta, Magnoliopsida, Poales, Poaceae. The transcript is spliced from 3 exons.